RNAcentral lists this non-coding RNA (28 nucleotides) under Cricetulus griseus (Chinese hamster). The record is from RNAcentral. Lineage: Eukaryota; Metazoa; Chordata; Mammalia; Rodentia; Cricetidae.
GUAGAGUACUCUAACCUGCAUCUCUUUG